UACGGAGGGUGCAAGCGUUAUCCGGAUUCACUGGGUUUAAAGGGUGCGUAGGUGGGUCUGUAAGUCAGUGGUGAAAUCUCCGGGCUUAACCCGGAAACUGCCAUUGAUACUAUAGGUCUUGAAUUUUCUGGAGGUCAGCGGAAUAUGUCAUGUAGCGGUGAAAUGCUUAGAUAUCGAGAGGAACACCUGCGGCGAAGGCGGGUUGCUGGGCUGAUACUGACGCUGAUGCGCGAAAGCCAGGGGAGCGAACGGG
RNAcentral lists this ribosomal RNA (253 nucleotides) under uncultured bacterium. RNAcentral's name for it is "partial 16S ribosomal RNA". It matches the Rfam family "Bacterial small subunit ribosomal RNA", at positions 524 to 776 of the family's 1533-position model. The record is from RNAcentral.